Molecule: ribosomal RNA, 270 nt
Filed under: uncultured bacterium
Lineage: Bacteria
Description: partial 16S ribosomal RNA
Rfam family: Bacterial small subunit ribosomal RNA
Source: RNAcentral
CUACGUCGGCGACCGGCGCACGGGUGCGUAACGCGUAUGCAACCUACCCAUUACAGGGGGAUAACACUGAGAAAUCGGUACUAAUACCCCAUAACAUCCAGGGAGGCAUCUUCUUGGGUUGAAAACUCCGGUGGUAAUGGAUGGGCAUGCGUUGUAUUAGUUAGUUGGUGGGGUAACGGCUCACCAAGACAACGAUACAUAGGGGGACUGAGAGGUUAACCCCCCACAUUGGUACUGAGACACGGACCAAACUCCUACGGGAGGCAGCAG